GACGAACGCUGGCGGCGUGCUUAACACAUGCAAGUCGAACGGAAAGGCCCCUUUGGGGGUACUCGAGUGGCGAACGGGUGAGUAACACGUGAGUAACCUGCCCUUGACUUCGGGAUAACUUCAGGAAACUGGGGCUAAUACCGGAUAGGAAUCCUUGCUGCAUGGUGGGGGUUGGAAAGCUUCGGCGGUUUUGGAUGGACUCGCGGCUUAUCAGCUUGUUGGUGGGGUAGUGGCUUACCAAGGCUUUGACGAGUAGCCGGCCUGAGAGGGCGACCGGCCACAUUGGGACUGAGAUACGGCCCAGACUCCUACGGGAGGCAGCAGUGGGGAAUAUUGCACAAUGGGCGGAAGCCUGAUGCAGCAACGCCGCGUGCGGGAUGACGGCCUUCGGGUUGUAAACCGCUUUCAGCAGGGGCGAAGCUUGUGGUGACGGUACCUGCAGAAGAAGCACCGGCUAACUACGUG
Molecule: ribosomal RNA, 465 nt
Filed under: uncultured bacterium
Lineage: Bacteria
Description: partial 16S ribosomal RNA
Rfam family: Bacterial small subunit ribosomal RNA
Source: RNAcentral